GUGAGGAAUUUUCCGCAAUGGGCGAAAGCCUGACGGAGCAAUGCCGCGUGAAGGAUGAAGGCCUAUGGGUUGUAAACUUCUUUUCUCAGAAAAGAAUUAUGACGGUAUCUGAGGAAUAAGCAUCGGCUAACUCUGUGCCAGCAGCCGCGGUAAGACAGAGGAUGCAAGCGUUAUCCGGAAUGAUUGGGCGUAAAGCGUCUGUAGGUUGUUUAAAAAGUAUUCUGUCAAAGAUUAGGGCUUAACCCUAGAUAGGCAGAAUAAACUUUUAAGAUAGAGGUUGGUAGAGGCAGAGGGAAUUCCCGGUGGAGCGGUGAAAUGCGUGGAUAUCGGGAGGAACACCAAAGGCGAAGGCACUCUGCUGGGCCAAUACUAACACUGAGAGACGAAAGCGAGGGGAGCAAAUGGGAUUAGAUACCCCGGUAGUCC
This 426-nucleotide ribosomal RNA is filed under the name uncultured bacterium. RNAcentral describes it as "partial 16S ribosomal RNA". It matches the Rfam family "Bacterial small subunit ribosomal RNA", at positions 354 to 796 of the family's 1533-position model. The record is from RNAcentral.